This 1773-nucleotide long non-coding RNA is filed under the name Linum usitatissimum (flax). Its description in RNAcentral is "long non-coding RNA (LUSI_LNC003671)". Lineage: Eukaryota; Viridiplantae; Streptophyta; Magnoliopsida; Malpighiales; Linaceae. The record is from RNAcentral.
CGGUUAUUUAAAUUAUUAAACAUAUUCGGCCAACACCUAAAUUUAUCCCCAAAACAAAACAAGUUCACUACAUAAUAAAAAAUUUAUCUAGUUUUUCCGUCCAUCUACCGUCCACUUCAAUGAAUUAUUUGUUUUUAAUAAUGAAUCAAUCUCAUUGUAGUCUCCGCCUCUCCUUUCAUUUCACCCAAUCCAAUUCAAUCUCCUUCUUUCUCCUCUCCCUCAUGUCUUCUGCAAUUCCAAAAUGAGAAGAAACAAAAAUCUAAUCUAAGGCCGCCCGCCGCAACACUCAUCUCACUCUUCUGCCUCAACCUGUCGGUCUCGAGAUCCAGGAGCUCUUCUUCGUCCAUCUCCUCCCUGUUUUCAGUGGUUCGGGUAACAGAGGAACAAAAUUUCUCGAAUUCGGGCUCGAGCGGUGAUGACUGGGCCGCUUCCGAUGGGGAAGGAUCGUUGCUGAGGACGAAGGUGCUUUCGAAGAUGAAUGGUGGGCAGGCUCCGAAAUAGUAAACGCCACUUACUCCGGUGGCAGUCGUGAUUCCUAGGAUUUCGCUAAGGUGGGGUGUUUUUCUAACGAUUCAGCUUAGGCGGGUUGAUUCUGGCGAUUCACCUUAGGUUGGGUGUGAUUCCGACGAUUCAGCUCAGGUGGGAUAUUGAUUCUGGCUAUUCAGGUUAGGCGGUGUGAUUCUGGCGAUUUAGCAUAUUUUGUUCCUAAAGUGCCGGUUUCCAUGAUGAUAGAAGAAGCCAGUCAUAUCAUGGUUACUGACUCGAUUUGGUAAGUCAUCAAAGAAAAACCAGCUCUGGUUGGGUAAUCUUAGAAGAGACACUCAACAACCAAAUCAAACGUAGGUUCGGUUGAUAAUCGAAUACAGAUUUUUCGGAGUAAACAAUUUCACCCCAUUUUUUCCCUCUCACACUUUUUUUCUGAGAUUUUAAUUCUGUUAAGAUUGACAUAAAUUUUUGAAGUAAAUCCCUGAUCUGAUUAUAGGCGAUAUGAUUUAUUCGUCAAAUCCGUCUGAUUUGCUCGUUUCAUUGUAGUGGUUUUGGCCAUUAUCGAUGGAGCAUUGCCGCCGUGAGCCUGACGAGAUUUCAACAUCGCUGGUUGUCGUGUUGAUGGAUGCUGGAAGAGGAGUAAAAAUGUAAAAAUGGAAAAAUCGAUUUCGGGUUGCAGUUCGUCCUCCGACCUCCGCUCCUCGCUUUGAUUCCGCAAUCGAUCUCUUUAUCUCUUCGUGGAGAUAAGGAGAGUGAGGAAUUUCCACUAAAUCGUUCAUCCUCCGACCUACGCUCCUCGCUUGAAUUUUGCAAUCGAUCUCUAAAUCCAGGCAUGGAGAGACAGGGAACCAAUCAAUGGAAGAGACAACAAGGUUCUGACGACAAUCUGGAUGGAAGGUGGUGAUGGGAAUCUAGAUGGGAGGUGGUGCAAUCUGGAUGGAAGGUGGUGACGGGAAUCUAGAUGGGAGGUGGUGCAAUCUGGAUGGAAGGUGGUGACGGGAAUCUAGAUGGGAGGUGGUGCAAUCUGGAUGGAAGACGGUGACGGCAGAAGUCCGACAAUAUAGAGGAAGUCCGACGGUAUUAAUUAAUUAAUUGAAUAACCAUUAAAUAAGGGGAUUACUAAACGACACCCUGCUUUUUACGAACCAACGCCCUAAUAUCGUCCAAUUAUUUGAGUUCAAAUGUAAAAUGACGUCAUCGCCCCUUAAAUAGUAAAAUGAAAUUCUUUAUAAAAUGCGGAAUUCCGAAGAACAGCUAUACUUCAUUCCAAACGACCCUUUAAAACCC